AUUGGUACUUGUACCGAUUGGAUGAGUUGCGAACGGGUGAGUAACGCGUAGGUAACCUGCCUGGUAGCGGGGGAUAACUAUUGGAAACGAUAGCUAAUACCGCAUAACAGUUGUGAUUGCAUGAUGACAACUUGAAAGGGGCAAUUGCUCCACUAUCAGAUGGACCUGCGUUGUAUUAGCUAGUUGGUGGGGUAACGGCUCACCAAGGCGACGAUACAUAGCCGACCUGAGAGGGUGAUCGGCCACACUGGGACUGAGACACGGCCCAGACUCCUACGGGAGGCAGCAGUAGGGAAUCUUCGGCAAUGGGGGCAACCCUGACCGAGCAACGCCGCGUGAGUGAAGAAGGUUUUCGGAUCGUAAAGCUCUGUUGUAAGAGAAGAAUUGUAGCAGGAGUGGAAAAUCUGCUACUUGACGGUAUCUUACCAGAAAGGGACGGCUAACUACGUGCCAGCAGCCGCGGUAAUACGUAGGUCCCGAGCGUUAUCCGGAUUUAUUGGGCGUAAAGCGAGCGCAGGCGGUUAGAUAAGUCUGAAGUCAAAGGCUGUGGCUCAACCAUAGUUUGCUUUGGAAACUGUUUAACUUGAGUGCAAGAGGGGAGAGUGGAAUUCCAUGUGUAGCGGUGAAAUGCGUAGAUAUAUGGAGGAACACCUGUGGCGAAAGCGGCUCUCUGGCUUGUAACUGACGCUGAGGCUCGAAAGCGUGGGUAGCGAACAGGAUUAGAUACCCUGGUAGUCCACGCCGUAAACGAUGAGUGCUAGGUGUUAGGCCCUUUCCGGGGCUUAGUGCCGCAGCUAACGCAUUAAGCACUCCGCCUGGGGAGUACGACCGCAAGGUUGAAACUCAAAGGAAUUGACGGGGGCCCGCACAAGCGGUGGAGCAUGUGG
Molecule: ribosomal RNA, 887 nt
Filed under: uncultured Streptococcus sp.
Lineage: Bacteria; Bacillati; Bacillota; Bacilli; Lactobacillales; Streptococcaceae
Description: bacterial SSU rRNA
Rfam family: Bacterial small subunit ribosomal RNA
Source: RNAcentral